CCUGGCGGGCGUAGCGCGGUGGUCCCACCUGACCCCAUGCCGAACUCAGAAGUGAAACGCCGUAGCGCCGAUGGUAGUGUGGGGUCUCCCCAUGCGAGAGUAGGGAACUGCCAGGC
This 116-nucleotide ribosomal RNA is filed under the name Escherichia coli. Lineage: Bacteria; Pseudomonadati; Pseudomonadota; Gammaproteobacteria; Enterobacterales; Enterobacteriaceae. The record is from RNAcentral. RNAcentral also lists the same sequence under 1 other name.